GCUUACGGCCACACCGCCCUGGUUCACGCCCGAUCUCUUUUGAUCUCGGAAGCUAAGAUAGGGUGGGCCUGGUUAGUACUUGGAUGGGAGACCGCCUGGGAAUACCAGGUGCUGUAAGCU
RNAcentral lists this ribosomal RNA (120 nucleotides) under Scophthalmus maximus (turbot). Lineage: Eukaryota; Metazoa; Chordata; Actinopteri; Pleuronectiformes; Scophthalmidae. The record is from RNAcentral.